This is a long non-coding RNA of Hydra vulgaris (swiftwater hydra), 3989 nucleotides long. RefSeq lists it as uncharacterized. The record is from RefSeq and is a predicted model, not a curated record. NCBI's taxonomy places the organism in Eukaryota, Metazoa, Cnidaria, Hydrozoa, Anthoathecata, Hydridae.
UUUGAAACAGCCGUGUGAAUGUUGUGGAGAAGAAAUAUGUAAACAAAUUGUGAGUCGUGUUUGAGAAUCAAAUUAUUAUGCUAUUAUGUUUGACGAAACACUUGAUGCAUCACAUCAGUCACAAAUGACAACAAUAUUACGCUAUUUGAUGCCUGAUCGAUCAGUUCGAGAAGAUUUUGUUGGAUAUGUUGGUUUGCAUGAUCAAAAUCAUCAAACUAAUAGUAAAGCAUCUAUUUACAACCAACUUUUUCUUAACGGCCAAGUUAUUAGUCAAUCGGUUAUAAACAUGUUGUAAAAAAAGUUACACUCUCUUUAAAAUAAUGUGGUUGUACUGUUAUACUGUUUGGUAUCCAUGUUAUAAUCAUGCUUUAAAUUUAACUUUAUCCAAAAGUUCGAAAUUUAACUUUAAAUUUAACUUUAUCCAAAAGUUCGAAAGUACAAGCAAUUAGAAGUUGUUUGGGGCUAUUCCACGUUGUACAAAAAGUUUAAUAUAAAUUUCAAAGCUUAGAAAAUAAAAAACUAAAUGUAUCAUUCAAAAGUUAAAGAUGUCUAAUAAAUUGUUGAAAGUUUGGACUCCAGACGGUUCGGUAAAAGCAGCUGUGGUAUGCAGUAAUUUGGCUGAAUUGAAAACCAAAGCUGCCCAAAAGCUUGGUUUCGAUAUCGCUUUGUUCAAAAUGGAUGAUGGUACAGAUAUCGAUGAUGAUGAAAUUGUGCAAUAUUUAAAUCCCGGUGCAAUAGUCUAUGCUUUAAAUGCUGAUGAAGCUAUCAGAAGCUUGGCAACAACAUUAUCUAUAAUACCCGGCACACCAGACAAUACAUUCGAACCAUUGCAGACUUCUACACCAGAAACCAGCAUGACUAGCAUAACUUCAGCUGCAGAUGUGCAUCAAAUGGAAGACAUGAAAGAGGAACAGCCAAGCACGAGCAAGCAAGUUGUACGUAAACGACCAAGGGACGUGCCUGUUACUGUGAUUUGAAGUAUUAACGACGUUUCAGUUAUUGUGGCAUUAAAGAAGCAUUCAAAAGAAAAGUGGAUAGUAGAAGAGGGUAACAAAGCCGUAAUGACACGUGAAGCUCGAUUGACAAUGGUCAAGGCAGCAUGUAGUCAUUUCAUUGACUUAUUUGGAGAUUAUCCACCAACAGAAAAGAAAGUGCUGAUGGCAAAAAGCAUCAUAGAAGCUUUUCCUAACUAAAAAUCAAGUUUCGGCGAAGGAUAUAACAUUAUUACUCAUCAGAUGGGACAGGUUUUAUACAAAACUGGUUUAGGCAGAUUCAACGCCAACUGCCUGAGCAGCAAAGGAAAAUAUCGCCAAAGAUACAAACUAUGUAUGUCAUUGUUUUCUUAUAAUUACGUGUGCGAUUGCGUUAGUAAACAAAUUAGGCUUGAGUAAGUUAUAGAUACAUGUGCAGCUGUUAAUCUAUUAAGUAAAUCUAUAGCUAAAUAUGCAGCUCUUGAUCUAUACUAUCAGCCUGUUUUAUUGCAUUUAUUUUUAUGUACAGCAGUCAAUGAUAGUGUGGUUUAAGCGGCUGACCAAUUUAUAGAGGUGUUUGGCGAGGAUGCCGAAUUAAAAACGGUCAUGCUUCAGAAUUUGGUACCAUUAUCGGCCAACGUAGACAAAAUCUAUACGUUAAUGGCUGAAACGUGCAGUUAUCGGCAGAGUUGGAUAAAAGGGGGUGGAGGUUCUGCUGGAUCUACAAUGGCACAAAUCCUUCAGAAAUACCCUCGUUUUAUAGAUGUGCCCGGCUUCGUAAGUUUCUGUUUUCAAGAACAUUGAAAAGUUAAUAAUAUAGUUGUUAUAAUAUUCAGAGAUUGAAGAAGAUGUUUUUUCUUCACAUUUUAUUGAUGAACACAAUAAAACCAAAGUUCACAUUGUCAAAGAGUUUCAAGUUUUAAUGUGAGUAGUUUUGGUUUUUACACCACUGAAUGUUAAUGUGGAGGUCUUUUUUAAUAAUUUGUUUUUGUUUUAAAAUAAUUGUAAAAAAUAAGUAUAAAAGAAUAGAAAUGGAUUAUUUAUAAUAUUGUGAUCUGAUAAAUCAUGUGUGUAGCAUUUGGUCAACUUUACCUUUACUAGUUAAACAAAAUUCUUUAAUACCGUAACCUUUUGCAGGAAGAAAUAUCAAGAAUUGCUCUUGAGCCACGCCCAAAGAAAAAUACACAAAAGUUAUCACCAGGGCUGUGGAGUCCAAGCUGCGGAGUUGAGACAUUUUCAGCAGAGUCGGAGUCGCUAAACAAAAUUGCGACUCCGACUUCAAUAGUAAAACUUCUCAGUAUUGUACGUCCAUGUACAAAACAAUCAAUUAACCUUAUAUUCAUACUAAACCUCAAAGAACGUUUCAUAAGUUUGUCAAAAAAGAAAUUUUUAACUUAUCCCGUAAUAUUUUUUAAAGAAUUAGAAAAUUUUUUCUAAAAUAAUGCUUUGGAGUUGUAAUCGAAGUUGGAGUUGGAGUCGGAGUUGUGCUCAAAAAAUUUCAACAACUGGAGUCGGAGUUAGAGUUGCACUCAAAAAGUUUCAACAACUGGUUUCGGAGUCAUUACUUUUUUUUAACAACUCCACACCCCUGGUUAUGAGUAACGGUUUGACAUAAAUCUGAAUAUUAUUUGUUGUUGUUUAUUUGUCAAAAUUAAAUAAGAAUUUCUGUAAAACUUGAAGUUUUAAUUUAUUUUCAGCGGUUUACCUAUAACUUAAGUGGAUUGUUUUUUUUAUUAGAUUAUUAUUGCAAAGUAGUUUAUUUAGUCAAAAUUAUUUUUUACUAGGUUUGCAAUCUGCCUCUUUUGCCUUUGUCUGAUUCUACAUAUAAAAUUUUAGCUGAUUUAAAAUGUAGGUUUUCUGAAAUAUUAUAGCAACUUCUGCGAUAGUGUACUAAAAAAAAUAACAUGUAAUUUUAGAAUUUUAGUUUUGAGUUACUCAAGCAUAAUUUGAAUUUUAAAGUUGUUAUUUCAUUGUUUUGCUUUUUGGUUUUAUGAGCUAAAUAUGUUAAUUAAUUCUUUUGAUUCUUGUUUGAAGAGAUGCAAAAUGUUAUUCUCAAGGAGUAGAGAUGCAAAAUGUUAUUCUCAAGCUUGCAGAAAAAAAAGUUCUUUUAAAAGAAGUUAUAGAAAUUAAGUUUCAGGCUACUGGGGUGAAGUUGCUAGAAUCAGUGGACGAAGUGGUUACACUGGAUAAUAAACUAAAAGAUAAAACCGAGUAUACUAAUUAGCUUGAUAGUUUGAAAAAAAUUGGUGGCGGAAAGCCAAGAGAACAUGUUUUUUUUAUCAUGAAAAGGUUAUUUUCGAUCAGUUACAGUCCAAAUUAAAUCGAAAAGGAAAUGGGGAAAAGAUAAGCUUAGAAUAUCUAGUAAAUAUAUGAAGUGUUUUACGAGAUAUCGGCGACGUGGAAGAAGAUGUUGACGGCAAUGCAGAAAUAUAGUUUCUUAUGUAUAUAUUUGUGAAAUAAAAUUAAGUACAACAAGAUUUCAAAAGUAUGGCUGCUAGUCCAAGAGAAGAUCCAGCAGCAUACUUUGAAAGCAACCUUGCUCUCAAAGUACUUCGUUAUUGUGUUGGCUAAGACAAAUCCCUUGACCUAACGCAGAACUUUGAAAAUUUCACCGCAGAUGCAACGAGUCACAAUGCGAUGCUAUGUUUGCUGGAGAUGCUACCUACCAUGGAAAGCAUCGGACAUCAGCUAAAAAUGCCCGCCAAUAUUUCAUCGACGAGAUAAAAAUCAGUGAUAAUUUGGAAGCAUACUUGGAAUCUUGCCAGCAAGAGAACAAAAAGCUUGAAAGGUUUCAGCCGUACAUUUUAAAAAUGGGUGCUACUGAGGAAGCAUCCUAUUACAUUAUCUGUGAUGGUCGUGCCUUGUUAGUGAAGCCAUCGAAAGCUGCCAAUUCUCUUUCAGAUUUAUUUUCAACGUUUUUUGUUUUUAAUGUCAGAUAUCCAUCUCAGCUUAUGUCAUUUUAUAAUUUUCUUGAGGUAUAUAUGUUUGAAAAGAAAAGCAAACUCUCUGCCAAACCAA